CUCGUAGGUGGCCAACUAAGUCAGACGUGAAAUCCCCAGGCUCAACUUGGGAACUGCGUCUGAUACUGGAUGGCUUGAAUUCGGGAGAGGGAUGCAGAAUUCCAGGUGUAGCGGUGAAAUGCGUAGAUAUCUGGAGGAAUACCGGUGGCGAAGGCGGCAUCCUGGACCGAGAUUGACACUGAUGAGCGAAAGCCAGGGGAGCAAACG
Molecule: ribosomal RNA, 207 nt
Filed under: uncultured bacterium
Lineage: Bacteria
Description: partial 16S ribosomal RNA
Rfam family: Bacterial small subunit ribosomal RNA
Source: RNAcentral